Molecule: ribosomal RNA, 253 nt
Filed under: uncultured bacterium
Lineage: Bacteria
Description: partial 16S ribosomal RNA
Rfam family: Bacterial small subunit ribosomal RNA
Source: RNAcentral
UACGUAGGGGGCUAGCGUUGUCCGGAAUCAUUGGGCGUAAAGCGCGUGUAGGCGGCUCGGUAAGUCUGCUGUGAAAGUCCAGGGCUCAACCCUGGAAUGCCGGUGGAUACUGUCGAGCUCGAGUCCGGAAGAGGCGAGUGGAAUUCCUGGUGUAGCGGUGAAAUGCGCAGAUAUCAGGAGGAACACCAAUGGCGAAGGCAGCUCGCUGGGACGGUACUGACGCUGAGACGCGAAAGCGUGGGGAGCAAACAGG